Molecule: ribosomal RNA, 468 nt
Filed under: uncultured bacterium
Lineage: Bacteria
Description: partial 16S ribosomal RNA
Rfam family: Bacterial small subunit ribosomal RNA
Source: RNAcentral
GACGAACGCUGGCGGCGUGCUUAACACAUGCAAGUCGAACGGAAAGGCCCUGCUUUUGUGGGGUGCUCGAGUGGCGAACGGGUGAGUAACACGUGAGUAACCUGCCCUUGACUUUGGGAUAACUUCAGGAAACUGGGGCUAAUACCGGAUAGGAGCUCCUGCUGCAUGGUGGGGGUUGGAAAGUUUCGGCGGUUGGGGAUGGACUCGCGGCUUAUCAGCUUGUUGGUUGGGUAGUGGCUUACCAAGGCUUUGACGGGUAGCCGGCCUGAGAGGGUGACCGGCCACAUUGGGACUGAGAUACGGCCAAGACUACUACGGGAGGCAGCAGUGGGGAAUAUUGCACAAUGGGCGGAAGCCUGAUGAAGCAACGCCGCGUGAGGGAUGACGGCCUUCGGGUUGUAAACCGCUUUCGCCUGUGACGAAGCGUGAGUGACGGUAAUGGGUAAAGAAGCACCGGCUAACUACGUG